UACGAAGGGGGCUAGCGUUGUUCGGAAUUACUGGGCGUAAAGCGCGCGUAGGCGGAUUGCUAAGUCAGGGGUGAAAUCCCGAGGCUCAACCUCGGAACUGCCUUUGAUACUGGCAAUCUUGAGUUCGGGAGAGGUGAGUGGAAUUCCUAGUGUAGAGGUGAAAUUCGUAGAUAUUAGGAAGAACACCAGUGGCGAAGGCGGCUCACUGGCCCGAUACUGACGCUGAGGUGCGAAAGCGUGGGGAGCAAACAGG
RNAcentral lists this ribosomal RNA (253 nucleotides) under uncultured bacterium. RNAcentral's name for it is "partial 16S ribosomal RNA". It matches the Rfam family "Bacterial small subunit ribosomal RNA", at positions 524 to 776 of the family's 1533-position model. The record is from RNAcentral.